RNAcentral lists this ribosomal RNA (821 nucleotides) under uncultured archaeon. RNAcentral describes it as "bacterial SSU rRNA". It matches the Rfam family "Archaeal small subunit ribosomal RNA", at positions 65 to 892 of the family's 1478-position model. The record is from RNAcentral.
UCGCGCGAUUCGCCUUACGGCUCAGUAACACGUGGACAACCUACCCUAUGGAGGGGAAUAACCCCGGGAAAGUGGGGAUAAUGCCCCAUAGACUAUGGAUGCUGGAAUGCUCUGUAGCCAAAAGGUCAGCCGCCAUAGGAUGGGUCUGCGGCCGAUUAGGUUGUUGUUGGGGUAACGGCCCAACAAGCCUGUAAUCGGUACGGGUUGUGGGAGCAAGAGCCCGGAGAUGGAUUCUGAGACACGAAUCCAGGCCCUACGGGGCGCAGCAGGCGCGAAAACUUUACAAUGCGGGAAACCGUGAUAAGGGAACUCCGAGUGCCCGUUAAAUCGGGCUGUCCAUCUGUGUAAAUAACAGGUGAAGAAAGGGCCGGGCAAGACCGGUGCCAGCCGCCGCGGUAAUACCGGCGGCUCGAGUGGUGGCCACUAUUACUGGGCUUAAAGCGUUCGUAGCUGGUCUGUUAAGUCUCUGGGGAAAUCUUCCGGCUUAACCGGAAGGCGUCUCAGGGAUACUGGCAGACUAGGGACCGGAAGAGGUGAGGGGUACUCCAGGGGUAGGAGUGAAAUCCUGUAAUCCUUGGGGGACCACCUGUGGCGAAGGCGCCUCACCAGGACGGCUCCGACAGUGAGGGACGAAAGCUGGGGGAGCAAACCGGAUUUAGAUACCCGGGGUAGUCCCAGCCGUAAACGAUGUGCGUUAGGUGUAUCGGUGACCACGAGUCACCGAGGUGCCGAAGAGAAAUCGUGAAACGUACGCCUGGGAAGUACGGUCGCAGGCUGAAACUUAAGGGAAUUGGCGGGGGAGCACAAGUCUAAUUCGUAUA